CUGCAGAGGUGCCUUUUGUCUGGCAAGGGGAGCACAGGUGGGGGAUGGGGCUGGCCCCAGCCAGGACAUUGUCUGUGUCACUCAGCAGCAGACUGACUGGCGCCUGCUGCCUGGCCAGCAAUGCUGACCCCUCUGCCUGCCCUAGCCAAUAUUUGAGGUCAGGAGGCAAGUACAGCAUCUGUGGGCAGACGACAGGGCCAAUGGGGUUCUCCUCCAGGCCUUCUGCUGCCACUCUGCUUCCUGAAGCCAGGAGGCCCAGUUCAGGUGCUCCGCCAGGGCUCCCGUGGUCCUGCCUGCAGGGGCGAGGUAGCAGGACCCCCUUGUUUAGCCUCUGCUGCAUCCUUAGCUGCAGCAGGGAGCCUGCCAGGCAGGUGUGCGACAGGCAGGACAGCGAUGUCUUCCUGCAUGACAGAAGGGGAAACUGAGGCCCAGAGUGAUGCAGCCCGGGACCUCCCAGGACAAGGUCCAAGCUCUUACCUCAGGUCCCUACACGGGUCAAGAUGGGAGCCGCCUUAGAGAUCUCUAUUCUGCAGAGGAGGAAACUGAGGCACAGACAUGGAUGGAGGGAAUUUGGCCAAGGCCCUUUGGCCUUCUGGGCCAGGACUCCAGCCCCAGCCCAGUGGCAGGAAGAGGGUCUCAUGCCACCCCUCAACCCUGAUAAUCCUGCAUGCACGGCACAGGCCUCGAACCUCCUCUCCCCUGGCCUGGUCCCACCCUAGUGGGCCCGGCAGUGGGGCCUUCCAUCCUGCCUCUGUCACUGCCACAAAAGAACAUCAUGAUGCAUCCCAGGCCUCUGUCCUUCAGGCCAUGGGGGGCUUCCCUGAGCACAGCCACUCACCACAUGCCUGAGUCUGGAUCUCAUGCGAGAACUGGCCUGGACCCCUGGACCAGGAUACAAACUCAUCUGGAAGCAUUAAAACAAUGGAAGCAGGUGAGAGCAGAGAGAUCCCGAGCGCAGGUGAGGUGGGGUCCCUGAGGCGGGCUCAAAAGCUGCUUCCCAAGGCAGGGGGGCCCCUAUGUGCCCUCUGAGAGCACAGCCUGCAGACAGAGUCCAGACGUCUCAGGCAGGCCUUUGAGGCCUUCGUGUCAAAGCCCAGUUCUACCACAUCCUAGGGUUAUACUUUCGGCCUGGUGGGAGUCGCUGGUCCCCAGUUGACAGUGUCAUUGGGAAAGUCCAGUGGUAGACCCCGGCACAGCAGGCGCUCAGCAGUGCAGCAGUAUCAUUGCUUAGCCCCACCUCCCUUUCCAGACUCUGCACCCCUCCUCAGGCUCAGAGCAAGGGCCUGCCCCUGCCCCUCCACCGCCCCCUCCUCACUUACCCCUGCGACUCUGCCCAAGCAAGACCUCCCCCUGGAAUUCAUUCAUUUAUCAACUCAUUAUGCAGCCAGCCAGCCAUCGUUUCUUUUUUAUCCACUUUUUCUGAGGGCCUGCUGUGCGCCAGCUGCUGGAGACAUGAAGACAUCGAAGACCCCAGGCCUUGACCUCCAAGAGCCCCCAGUUUGGUGGAAGAAACAAACAAGGAGACUGCAAAACACACCCUGUGAUGGGGAGGGUUGAGGUGGCCAGUGGGAGAGGCGAGCUGGCAGGGCUCAGUGGUGAGGUGAAGGUGUGGGAGCAGGGACACAGCAUGAAGGAGUAGAUGGCCAGGUUGAGCUUUGCAGGCUCCAGGGGGAGGAUAAAGAGCUGACACCUGGAACGUGCUUGGAACAGCAGGUGCUCGGUCAGUGCAGCCACGACCAUCCCGUCCUGCAUCCCCACCAUGAACUUGGACCUUCUGGAAGGACCUUGCUUAUCCCAGCAUCCACACAUCCUUGACCAGACCUGGUCAACAUUUGCUUACCUCUGCCAGCCUCCUCUCACCCAUUCCUGCAUGUGCCGCACCAAUCUGUGUGGAGCGCCCACUCCAGCCAGGCCCUGCUCUAUCAGCAAACUCAGCAGGCAGAACCCCUGCCCCAUGGCGCUGCUUCAGCGUGGUGAGACAGGAACCGCCUGGCUGCUGGGAUGAGAAGAGACUGGAGAGAGACCACGAUGGAAGCCAGGAGGCCAACGAGGAGUUGGGGUAGUCCUCCAGGGAGACAUGAUGUGGCUUCAGCCCCAGUGGUGAUGGCGGGGUAGAGCCAGCAGGGUUCUGAACUGAGUGGAUGUGAAAUGAGGGAAAGAGGGAUGCUGCGGUCGGCAGAAUCGUGCCUCCCGCAAAGAUGCCCCAUCCUAACCCGUCACCCUUGACAGUGAGACCUCCACCACAAAGGGGACUUUGCAGGCAUGAAGGUUAAGGACCCUGAGAGGAGGAGAUGGCCCUGGACUGUCUGGCGGGCCCAGCAUCAUCACAAGGGUGCUUAUAAGUGGAGGAGGAGGCAGGGGGAGCCGAGCAGAUGUGAGGAUAGAAGCAGAGGUCGGAGGGACGUGCUGUUGGCUUGAGAUGGAGGAGGACCUAUGAGCCAAGGAGCAUGGGCGGCCUCUGGAAGCCAGAAAGGGCAAGGCCUCUUCCCGGAGCCUCCAGCAGAACCCAGCCCCGCUGCCACCUCGACUGCAGAACGGUGACACCGUGUCCGAUUCCCGACCUCCAGAACCGUGAGAUAACACGUGUGCUGUUUUAAGCCACUGCAAUUGUGGUAUUUGUCACAGCAGCCAUAGGAAACUGUACGGGGGUUAAAGAGGACCUGCUGACCUCUGAGCUCACACUGAAGCCUCCUGGAAUGCUGUGGGUUGUGAGCUGGGAUGAGAACGCAGCAUGGAGAUGAAAGACGCAUCCACCCAGGAAGGCCCACUGGCAUCGCAAUCUCAGGGAAGAUUCCCAGGCUGAAAAAAGAGAAAGUGGCUGGGGUGGCACUGAAUGCCCCACGUCAAAGAAAUGGCACCCAAGCCGUCCGUCAGUCCCUCACCUGCCACACAGACAGCACCUUGGACCCAGCAAGAUGUCACUCACCACAUUGAUGCUGUCCACAGGCAUCGCCUUGCUUUUGCAGCUCUGUGUGAGAUUUGUCAGCUUGGUUUGGGUCUGGGGCUGUAUUAGAGCUGUCAGCCUAGGAGCCUACCCUAGUUUUGUGUCUGCACUAUUUCCAAAGCACUGGAAUAAAAGGCAUUUUAACCAA
Homo sapiens (human) is the source of this 3092-nucleotide long non-coding RNA. RefSeq annotates it as long independently transcribed non-coding RNA 1488. The transcript has 6 exons. The record is from RefSeq and is marked validated. Lineage: Eukaryota; Metazoa; Chordata; Mammalia; Primates; Hominidae.